AGGGAAUUUUCCACAAUGGACGAAAGUCUGAUGGAGCAACGCCGCGUGAACGAUGAAGGUCUUCGGAUUGUAAAGUUCUGUUGUCAGGGACGAAUAAGUAUCGUUCGAACAGGGCGGUACCUUGACGGCACCUGACGAGAAAGCCACGGCUAACUACGUGCCAGCAGCCGCGGUAAUACGUAGGUGGCAAGCGUUGUCCGGAAUUAUUGGGCGUAAAGCGCGCGCAGGCGGCUAUGUAAGUCUGGUGUUAAAGCCCGGGGCUCAACCCCGGUUCGCAUCGGAAACUGUGUAGCUUGAGUGCAGAAGAGGAAAGCGGUAUUCCACGUGUAGCGGUGAAAUGCGUAGAGAUGUGGAGGAACACCAGUGGCGAAGGCGGCUUUCUGGUCUGUAACCGACGCUGAGGCGCGAAAGCGUGGGGAGCAAAC
This 425-nucleotide ribosomal RNA is filed under the name uncultured bacterium. RNAcentral describes it as "bacterial SSU rRNA". It matches the Rfam family "Bacterial small subunit ribosomal RNA", at positions 356 to 773 of the family's 1533-position model. The record is from RNAcentral.